CAAUCCAUGAGUAAAGUGGCGCACGGGUGAGUAACACGUGACUAACCUACCCUUGAGUGGGGGAUAACCUAGGGAAACCUGGGCUAAUACCGCAUAAUACCUACGGGUCAAAGGAGCAAUUCGCUUUAGGAGGGGGUCGCGGCAGAUUAGUUAGUUGGCAGGGUAAUGGCCUACCAAGACGAUGAUCUGUAUCCGGCCUGAGAGGGCGCACGGACACACUGGAACUGAAACACGGUCCAG
RNAcentral lists this ribosomal RNA (240 nucleotides) under uncultured bacterium. Its description in RNAcentral is "partial 16S ribosomal RNA". It matches the Rfam family "Bacterial small subunit ribosomal RNA", at positions 80 to 334 of the family's 1533-position model. The record is from RNAcentral.